UACGGAGGGGGCUAGCGUUGUUCGGAAUUACUGGGCGUAAAGCGCGCGUAGGCGGCUUUGCAAGUUAGAGGUGAAAGCCCGGGGCUCAACCCCGGAAUUGCCUUUAAAACUGCAUCGCUAGAACGUCGGAGAGGUAAGUGGAAUUCCGAGUGUAGAGGUGAAAUUCGUAGAUAUUCGGAAGAACACCAGUGGCGAAGGCGACUUACUGGACGACUGUUGACGCUGAGGUGCGAAAGCGUGGGGAGCAAACAGG
RNAcentral lists this ribosomal RNA (253 nucleotides) under uncultured bacterium. RNAcentral's name for it is "partial 16S ribosomal RNA". It matches the Rfam family "Bacterial small subunit ribosomal RNA", at positions 524 to 776 of the family's 1533-position model. The record is from RNAcentral.